RNAcentral lists this ribosomal RNA (459 nucleotides) under uncultured bacterium. RNAcentral's name for it is "partial 16S ribosomal RNA". It matches the Rfam family "Bacterial small subunit ribosomal RNA", at positions 338 to 795 of the family's 1533-position model. The record is from RNAcentral.
CCUACGGGAGGCUGCAGUGAGGAAUAUUGGUCAAUGGCCGCAGGGCUGAACCAGCAAAGUCGCGUGAGGGAUGACGGUCCUAUGGAUUGUAAACCUCUUUUGUCAGGGAGCAAAGGGCGCCACGUGUGGCGCUUUGCGAGUACCUGAAGAAAAAGCAUCGGCUAACUCCGUGCCAGCAGCCGCGGUAAUACGGAGGAUGCGAGCGUUAUCCGGAUUUAUUGGGUUUAAAGGGUGCGCAGGCGGAAUGUCAAGUCAGCGGUAAAAUUUCGGGGCUCAACCCCGUCGUGCCGUUGAAACUGGCGUUCUUGAGUGAGCGAGAAGUAUGCGGAAUGCGUGGUGUAGCGGUGAAAUGCAUAGAUAUCACGCAGAACUCCGAUUGCGAAGGCAGCAUACCGGCGCUCAACUGACGCUCAUGCACGAAAGCGUGGGUAUCGAACAGGAUUAGAUACCCAAGUAGUC